AAUGAACGUUGGCGGCGUGGAUUAGGCAUGCAAGUCGUGCGCGAAACGUAGCAAUACGUGGAGAGCGGCGAAAGGGAGAGUAAUACAUGGUUAGCUACCCUCGGGACUGGGAUAGCGGCGGGAAACUGCCGGUAAUACCAGAUGACGUCUUCGGACCAAACGUGUAAACCGGCCCGAGGAGGUGACCAUGUCCUAUCAGCUUGUUGGCGGGGUAACGGCCCACCAAGGCAAAGACGGGUAUGGGGCGUGAGAGCGUCGCCCCCACUCACUGGGACUGAGAACUGCCCAGACACCUACGGGUGGCAG
This 306-nucleotide ribosomal RNA is filed under the name uncultured Planctomycetota bacterium. Its description in RNAcentral is "bacterial SSU rRNA". It matches the Rfam family "Bacterial small subunit ribosomal RNA", at positions 29 to 351 of the family's 1533-position model. Lineage: Bacteria; Pseudomonadati; Planctomycetota. The record is from RNAcentral.